ACGAAACUUGAUGAACGAUUUUGUUCCUAAAAAUUUAUGAUCCGUUGUUCUACUUGAAAACAUAGUAACACGUAGGUACAUUUUGGGGUUUUUUUGUUGUUUUUUGGUACCAGGGAUUGAACUCAGGACCUUGCGCUUUCGAGGCAGGAGGAGGCACCACUGAGCUAAAUCCCUGGCCCACAGCAUUGCCAGCAAUCCAAGAAAGGAGAAAAUAAUUGGGGAGGAAAAGCUUUCUGUGACCUUAUCAAAUGAAGCACCUUACUGAUAAGCUGCAGCAGACACAGCCAGGACGGAGAGAACGAGCACAGAAAAGCUGGCCUGCAUUACUGAACACAAAUGCUUGCUAAAAGCAAGGUGCUGCUGUCUCACUAAACCCUAAACAACCUUCUAUGAUGCAGUAUUUGGAGGUUGACCUGGACUUAGCUGUGUUAAGCUGCCUGCACCACAGGAAACCACCUCCCUCGCUGCUGCUUGCUGCUUUCUCUUUAGCCAACACCCAAAGCCACUGCCAGUGUCAGGGAGAUGAGACUUCACAGGGAUGAAAAAUAUCUCCAUACAAGAUUAUCUGGAAAAUUGAUCCAAGCAGGAUGAGAUACCAUGUAGUAGUAUUCAGUCUUCAGAGUUGGUGGUCUGAACUUGAAAUUUUUCAGUUAUUCUACAUCAAGUCCUGAACUACUGGUUAGUGUGAAGAAGGAAGGAGCAGGACGUCUGCUGAGGCUAGAAGCAGUGAGGCUGUCACUAGCAGGCUGGGGACCUGAGAAGCACUGUGGAUGGGCGGAAGCAGCUGCACUAGGGACCUCAGAAGUGGACACCUGGAGAAGACACAUGUCCAGGGCACUUGGGAGCCAACAGAAAUUGAUCUUAGCUGGGGAUUAGAUGGAUGCUUAUUCUCUCUCUCUCUCUCUCUCUCUCUCUCUCUCUCUCUCUCUCUCUCUCUCUCUCUCCCCCUCUCUCCCUCUCUCUCCCCCUCUCUCUCCCUCUCUCUCCCCCUCUCUCUCCCCCUCUCUCUCCCCCUCUCUCUCUCCCUCUCUCUCCCCCUCUCUCUCCCCCUCUCUCUCCC
Molecule: long non-coding RNA, 1060 nt
Filed under: Heterocephalus glaber (naked mole-rat)
Lineage: Eukaryota; Metazoa; Chordata; Mammalia; Rodentia; Bathyergidae
Description: lncRNA (ENSHGLG00000041716.1)
Source: RNAcentral